This 520-nucleotide ribosomal RNA is filed under the name uncultured bacterium. Its description in RNAcentral is "partial 16S ribosomal RNA". It matches the Rfam family "Bacterial small subunit ribosomal RNA", at positions 356 to 893 of the family's 1533-position model. The record is from RNAcentral.
UGGGAAUAUUGGACAAUGGGCGCAAGCCUGAUCCAGCCAUGCCGCGUGAGUGAUGAAGGCCUUAGGGUUGUAAAGCUCUUUCACCCACGACGAUAAUGACGGUAGUGGGAGAAGAAGCCCCGGCUAACUUCGUGCCAGCAGCCGCGGUAAUACGAAGGGGGCUAGCGUUGCUCGGAAUCACUGGGCGUAAAGGGCGCGUAGGCGGCCGAUCAAGUCAGGGGUGAAAGCCUAUGGCUCAACCACAGAAUUGCCUUUGAUACUGUUCGGCUCGAGACCGGAAGAGGUUGGUGGAACUGCGAGUGUAGAGGUGAAAUUCGUAGAUAUUCGCAAGAACACCAGUGGCGAAGGCGGCCAACUGGUCCGGUUCUGACGCUGAGGCGCGAAAGCGUGGGGAGCAAAACAGGAUUAGAUACCCUGGUAGUCCACGCCGUAAACGAUGAAUGCCAGCCGUUGGGCAGCUUGCUGCUCAGUGGCGCAGCUAACGCUUUAAGCAUUCCGCCUGGGGAGUACGGUCGCAAGA